UACGGGGGGGGCAAGCGUUGUUCGGAAUUACUGGGCGUAAAGGGCUCGUAGGCGGCCAACUAAGUCAGACGUGAAAUCCCUCGGCUUAACCGGGGAACUGCGUCUGAUACUGGAUGGCUUGAGGUUGGGAGAGGGAUGCGGAAUUCCAGGUGUAGCGGUGAAAUGCGUAGAUAUCGGAAGGAACAUCAGUGGCGAAAGCGGCUUCCUGGUCCAGCACCGACGUUCAGGCACGAAAGCGUGGGGAGCAAACAGG
Molecule: ribosomal RNA, 253 nt
Filed under: uncultured bacterium
Lineage: Bacteria
Description: partial 16S ribosomal RNA
Rfam family: Bacterial small subunit ribosomal RNA
Source: RNAcentral